This 232-nucleotide long non-coding RNA is filed under the name Ananas comosus (pineapple). Its description in RNAcentral is "long non-coding RNA (ACOM_LNC020246)". Lineage: Eukaryota; Viridiplantae; Streptophyta; Magnoliopsida; Poales; Bromeliaceae. The record is from RNAcentral.
AGAAACCGCAACUGAUUGAGGCGUAAACCGCGACCGAUCUAAGCUGCUGUUGAGGAAGAAGAGGGAGGAGACGAAAAUGGUGAGGGUCAAAAUGAUCAUUUUAUCAUCACAAUACACACCGUACCCUCUUGUGAACAUUUUUCAUUUUACAAGAGGGCAAAAUGUAGAUUUUUAAAUGACAGAAAAAAAAAUAAAAAAUCGAGUUUUGACGGGAGAGUUUUAUGUAAUUUAG